UACGGAGGGGGCUAGCGUUGUUCGGAAUUACUGGGCGUAAAGCGUACGUAGGCGGCUUUGUAAGUUAGAGGUGAAAGCCCGGAGCUCAACUCCGGAAUUGCCUUUAAGACUGCAUCGCUCGAAUCAUGGAGAGGUGAGUGGAAUUCCGAGUGUAGAGGUGAAAUUCGUAGAUAUUCGGAAGAACACCAGUGGCGAAGGCGACUCACUGGACAUGUAUUGACGCUGAGGUGCGAAAGCGUGGGGAGCAAACAGG
This 253-nucleotide ribosomal RNA is filed under the name uncultured bacterium. RNAcentral's name for it is "partial 16S ribosomal RNA". It matches the Rfam family "Bacterial small subunit ribosomal RNA", at positions 524 to 776 of the family's 1533-position model. The record is from RNAcentral.